GCAACUCGCCUGCAUGAAGUCGGAAUUGCUAGUAAUCGUAGGUCAGCAUACUACGGUGAAUACGUUCCCGGGCCUUGUACACACUGCCCGUCAAACCAUGAGAGUUGGCAACACCCGAAGUCGGUAGUCUAACCGCAAGGAGGACGCCGCCGAAGGUGGGGUUGAUGAUUAGGGUUAAGUCGUAACAAGGUAGC
RNAcentral lists this ribosomal RNA (194 nucleotides) under uncultured bacterium. Its description in RNAcentral is "partial 16S ribosomal RNA". It matches the Rfam family "Bacterial small subunit ribosomal RNA", at positions 1307 to 1500 of the family's 1533-position model. The record is from RNAcentral.